This 529-nucleotide long non-coding RNA is filed under the name Helianthus annuus (common sunflower). Its description in RNAcentral is "sRNA HanXRQr2_Chr02g0055461". Lineage: Eukaryota; Viridiplantae; Streptophyta; Magnoliopsida; Asterales; Asteraceae. The record is from RNAcentral.
UCUACCUCUUCAUCAGCUGAAAUGAAAAGCAAUCCUUUCCCACGACAACCGAUCGGACUGCGAGUAUCGCAGGAACAAUUUCUACCAAACCAGGCACUCUAGCAUUGGUAACUUGGUGGCGACAUGAUCGGAAUUCUGUUGUUAAAAAAGCUUGACCAAAAAUUCACCGAAUCCUUGUGUGGAGAUGAACACGUGAACCCUAAAAGGUAUCAUCAUGUCUGCAGCUUGAUAUGAAGCAACUGCUCAUAUAGUUGUCACGGUUUCUCCACUAGUGUGGCUUGGCGGCGAAAGAUUGGUGGUUUGGUGAGAUAUGAGGGUAUAAAUGUGAAGGUGGGAAGCAGACCCUGGAACACUCUAACCCUUUCCAAAUGUGGAAGUGUGAGUGAAAGGCGCAUGUACAAGACCCUGAAGGUUGUCAAGAAGCAUGAAGCAACCGCUCAUCUAGUUGUCACGGUUUCUCCACUGAUGUUGAUUGGCAGCGAACGAUGGUGGUGGUUUGGUGAGAUAUGAGGGUAUAAAUGUGAAGGUG